Molecule: ribosomal RNA, 1062 nt
Filed under: Calisoga longitarsis
Lineage: Eukaryota; Metazoa; Arthropoda; Arachnida; Araneae; Nemesiidae
Description: 16S ribosomal RNA
Rfam family: Archaeal large subunit ribosomal RNA (bases 726-1017)
Source: RNAcentral
UUUAUUAGCCCCUUAUACACAAAAACUUUGCACUCAUACAUUUCUAUCUCAUCACCUUAAAAACUGAAAAGGAGAAUCAAAAUAUUUUCCAAGUAAAUUUAUGUACCUUUUGUAUCAGGGAUUUUCAAAUCUCCACAAAAUAUUUCAAACUCCCGAAACAAAACGAACUUUGCAUUUUAGUAAAAGUUAUGACACAAACAAUAUAAAUUUUUCAAAGUUGAGAUAUUCUUUUCAAGUCUUCCUAUAUCUGGUUCACUUUCACCAACUCCUUCACAGGGCCCAAAGAAUAAGCUUUGAGCGAAGCUUAACAACUUCUCGUUUUCUGACCCUAGAUUUAAUAGUAUCCACACUGUUUUUAAACUUCUCAUCCUAACACAACCAAGUAAAACCAUUUCCAAGUGAAUCACCCCAUUAACAUCACAAUGAAAAUAUCAGUAAAAUUUCUUCCUUCUUUAACCCACUAAACUUGUUUCCCAAUCAUAGAUUUACCUUAACUUUAUGAACUAGGCCCACAAUCAAUUGACUGUUUAUCAAAAACAUAGCUAAUAGAUUUCAAUUACUAGUAGUACCUGCUCAAUGAAAAAUAAAUAGCCGCAAAAUUUGUGCUAAGGUAGCAAAAUCAUUUGCCUUUUAAUUGGAGGCCCGUAUGAAAGGUUUUACAUAUUGAUUUCUUUAUCGUGUCAACAAUUCUAAAUUAACAUUUAAGUAAAAAGGCUUAAAUAAAAAAGAAAGACGACAAGACCCUGACAAACUUCACACUAAUGUUUUACUGGGGCGGUACAAAAACCACAUCUUUUUAAUUACAAGACAACGAACAUCUUUUUUAUAAAAAGUUACUGCAGGGAUAACAGCAUAAUUUUUUCUUAGAGUCCUUAUCAAAGAAAAAGAUUGUGACCUCGAUGUUGAAUUAAUGUCACUCAUAAGGGCACGCCCUUGUUAAGUAAGUCUGUUCGACUUUUAAUACAUUACAUGAUUUGAGUUCAGACCGGCGUAAGCCAGGUCGGUUUCUAUCUUCUUCAUCAAAUCUUCAGUACGAAAGGAUCAAAAUUUGAGUUUUUAACU